UUCGGCCUACGGGCGCAGCAGUGAGGAAUAUUGGUCAAUGGACGCAAGCCUGAACCAGUCAAGUCGCGUGAGGGAAUAAGGCCCUACGGGUCGUAAACCUCUUUUGCCGGGGAGCAAGGGCGGGGACGUGCCCCGGCCCGGAGAGUACCCGGAGAAAAAGCAUCGGCUAACUCCGUGCCAGCAGCCGCGGUAAUACGGAGGAUGCGAGCGUUAUCCGGAUUUAUUGGGUUUAAAUGGUGCGUAGGCGGGCUUUUAAGUCAGCGGUAAAAAUCCGGGGCUCAACCCCGUCCGGCC
This 294-nucleotide ribosomal RNA is filed under the name uncultured bacterium. Its description in RNAcentral is "partial 16S ribosomal RNA". It matches the Rfam family "Bacterial small subunit ribosomal RNA", at positions 333 to 625 of the family's 1533-position model. The record is from RNAcentral.